This 382-nucleotide ribosomal RNA is filed under the name Klebsiella pneumoniae. RNAcentral describes it as "partial 23S ribosomal RNA". It matches the Rfam family "Bacterial large subunit ribosomal RNA", at positions 2335 to 2716 of the family's 2925-position model. The record is from RNAcentral. Lineage: Bacteria; Pseudomonadati; Pseudomonadota; Gammaproteobacteria; Enterobacterales; Enterobacteriaceae.
ACAUCAGGAGGUUAGUGCAAUGGCAUAAGCUAGCUUGACUGCGAGCGUGACGGCGCGAGCAGGUGCGAAAGCAGGUCAUAGUGAUCCGGUGGUUCUGAAUGGAAGGGCCAUCGCUCAACGGAUAAAAGGUACUCCGGGGAUAACAGGCUGAUACCGCCCAAGAGUUCAUAUCGACGGCGGUGUUUGGCACCUCGAUGUCGGCUCAUCACAUCCUGGGGCUGAAGUAGGUCCCAAGGGUAUGGCUGUUCGCCAUUUAAAGUGGUACGCGAGCUGGGUUUAGAACGUCGUGAGACAGUUCGGUCCCUAUCUGCCGUGGGCGCUGGAGAAUUGAGGGGGGCUGCUCCUAGUACGAGAGGACCGGAGUGGACGCAUCACUGGUGUU